Molecule: ribosomal RNA, 492 nt
Filed under: uncultured bacterium
Lineage: Bacteria
Description: partial 16S ribosomal RNA
Rfam family: Bacterial small subunit ribosomal RNA
Source: RNAcentral
AGUGAACGCUGGCGGUAGGCCUAACACAUGCAAGUCGAACGGCAGCACAGUAAGAGCUUGCUCUUACGGGUGGCGAGUGGCGGACGGGUGAGGGAUACAUCGGAAUCUGCUUUUUCGUGGGGGAUAACGUAGGGAAACUUACGCUAAUACCGCAUACGACCUACGGGUGAAAGCAGGGGAUCUUCGGACCUUGCGCGAUUGAAUGAGCCGAUGUCGGAUUAGCUAGUUGGCGGGGUAAAGGCCCACCAAGGCGACGAUCCGUAGCUGGUCUGAGAGGAUGAUCAGCCACACUGGAACUGAGACACGGUCCAGACUCCUACGGGAGGCAGCAGUGGGGAAUAUUGGACAAUGGGCGCAAGCCUGAUCCAGCCAUACCGCGUGGGUGAAGAAGGCCUUCGGGUUGUAAAGCCCUUUUGUUGGGAAAGAAAAGCAGCAGGUUAAUACCCCGCUGUUCUGACGGUACCCAAAGAAUAAGCACCGGCUAACUUCGUG